Molecule: ribosomal RNA, 253 nt
Filed under: uncultured Eubacteriales bacterium
Lineage: Bacteria; Bacillati; Bacillota; Clostridia; Eubacteriales
Description: uncultured Clostridiales bacterium partial 16S ribosomal RNA
Rfam family: Bacterial small subunit ribosomal RNA
Source: RNAcentral
UACAUAGGUGGCAAGCGUUGUCCGGAAUGACUGGGCGUAAAGGGAGCGUAGGCGGUCUGUUAAGUUGGAAGUGAAAUCCCGGGGCUCAACCCCGGAACUGCUUUCAAGACUGACGGACUUGAGUGUAAGAGGGGUAAGCGGAAUUCCUAGUGUAGCGGUGGAAUGCGUAGAUAUCAGGAGGAACACCGGCGGCGAAGGCGGCCUGCUGGACCGCGACUGACGUUGAGGCUCGAAAGCGUGGGGAGCAAACAGG